Molecule: ribosomal RNA, 459 nt
Filed under: uncultured bacterium
Lineage: Bacteria
Description: partial 16S ribosomal RNA
Rfam family: Bacterial small subunit ribosomal RNA
Source: RNAcentral
CCUACGGGUGGCAGCAGUGAGGAAUAUUGGUCAAUGGGCGGAAGCCUGAACCAGCCAAGUAGCGUGCGCGAUGAAGGCCCUACGGGUCGUAAACCGCUUUUGCACGGGGAUAACAUCCUCCACUUGUGGAGGUCUGCAGGUACCGUGCGAAUAAGGGCCGGCUAAUUCCGUGACAGCAGCCGCGGGAAGACGGAAGGCCCGAGCGUUAUCCGGAUUCAUUGGGGUUAAAGGGAGCGUAGGCGGGCGGUAAAGUCAGCUGUAAAAUCGCGCGGCUCAACCGCGCCCCGAAGUUGAAACUGGAAGACUUGAGUUCACAAGAGGCAGGCGGAAUUCGUGGUGUAGCGGUGAAAUGCGUAGAUAUAACGAAGAACCCCGAUGGCGAAGGCAGCCUGCCGGGUUGCGACUGACGCUGAGGCUCGAAGGUGCGGGUAUCAAACAGGAUUAGAUACCCGAGUAGUC